AUUGCUUGAACCUGGGAGGUGGAGGUUGCAGUGAGCUGAGAUCACGCCACUGCACUCCAACCUGGGCAAUAAAGUGAGACUCUGUCUC
This 88-nucleotide microRNA precursor is filed under the name Saimiri boliviensis boliviensis (Bolivian squirrel monkey). RNAcentral describes it as "miRNA (ENSSBOG00000004087.1)". The record is from RNAcentral. Lineage: Eukaryota; Metazoa; Chordata; Mammalia; Primates; Cebidae.